AGUGAACGCUGGCGGUAGGCCUAACACAUGCAAGUCGAACGGCAGCACAGUAAGAGCUUGCUCUUACGGGUGGCGAGUGGCGGACGGGUGAGGAAUACAUCGGAAUCUACUUUUUCGUGGGGGAUAACGUAGGGAAACUUACGCUAAUACCGCAUACGACCUACGGGUGAAAGCAGGGGAUCUUCGGACCUUGCGCGAUUGAAUGAGCCGAUGUCGGAUUAGCUAGUUGGCGGGGUAAAGGCCCACCAAGGCGACGAUCCGUAGCUGGUCUGAGAGGAUGAUCAGCCACACUGGAACUGAGACACGGUCCAGACUCCUACGGGGGGCAGCAGUGGGGAAUAUUGGACAAUGGGCGCAAGCCUGAUCCAGCCAUACCGCGUGGGUGAAGAAGGCCUUCGGGAUGUAAAGCCCUUUUGUUGGGAAAGAAAAGCAGCAGGUUAAUACCCCGCUGUUCCGACGGUACCCAAAGAAUAAGCACCGGCUAACUUCGUG
RNAcentral lists this ribosomal RNA (492 nucleotides) under uncultured bacterium. Its description in RNAcentral is "partial 16S ribosomal RNA". It matches the Rfam family "Bacterial small subunit ribosomal RNA", at positions 29 to 507 of the family's 1533-position model. The record is from RNAcentral.